This 1141-nucleotide long non-coding RNA is filed under the name Oncorhynchus mykiss (rainbow trout). RNAcentral describes it as "lncRNA (ENSOMYG00000057833.1)". Lineage: Eukaryota; Metazoa; Chordata; Actinopteri; Salmoniformes; Salmonidae. The record is from RNAcentral.
GGGAAGAUGUGCAAUUUUAAUAGACGUGUCUACGGAUAACGUUGGAAACAUUUUUUUAACCAUAUCAUUUUAACAUCUCGACAGUACCAUGUACUUUAUACUCGAUACCAAAGGAAAAAGCACACAGCUUUUUAUGAUAAUGUCUUGACACCAAGGGACCCUGACGGCCGAAAAUCUUCAAAGAUCAGCGUUGAAGUUCCGCGAGAAAAUAUAAAAUAGAUCAUUGGAUAAAACCCAGGAGUUAAACACGACCUGUCUUAUCUCUGGCCUGUCACCCGCUCUUGUCCUUCAGAGGAGGGAAAACGGGUGCUAAAAGGCGAUUAAAAACGACAAGUGACAACACUAUGGAAAUCACUCCGAAUAGCACACCUGCAUCUGAGAAAACACCGUCAUUGCAACACAGAACCAGAACAGGUUCAUUUGACAAAAGCGCAGGUAAAGACAUCGGCAAAGCAGAGGGCUUCAGACCACGCUGGGUCAGCGGUACCGACUCUAAUCAGUCUAAAGUUUUCUCUGAAUCAAACCCCCGAACGACAGCUGUAUUACGGUCAUUUAGUCUUAGGGACACCAUCUAAAAGUAAAUGGAGAGAAGCUGCUAACCUUUUAAACACUCCAACUAAAGGAGUUGAAAGGUUUCCGUCUAGAUUUGCGCCAAAACAACCAACAACCCCGGGUAAAGUAGACGUGACAAAACCAGAGGACCAGACCAAAACUUUAUCAACACCCACGAGAAAGACUCCUUUCGAGAAAAUCACGGCAAAGAAGGAUGCCUUUGAGAGAUUGGCUGGGGAAAAAGGGCCAACAAGUGGUGGCUGUAAAAAUGGCAAGCCUAGAGAGGCCAAAGAAGCACACACAGGUGACCGUGGAGGCUGCGAAACCUGGUGCAAUUCACAGUUCCAGGACGUUUCCGCUCAGUAGUCAAGGAGCAAACGUGGCCUCGACCUUUCCGUCAAUCCAUAGCGACGUAAGCGUGGCAAGGUCCUCUACCCCUGCACCAACAUCCUAUGUCUCGACCGAUCCUUUGGUCCGAUCCAAACCAGAUACCCUGAAGAUGGAGAACAGUGCUGUGACAGUUGCGGUCCGGGUGAGGCCAUUCAACACCAGGGAGAAGACGGAGAACGCAGGUGAUCUUCAUGGAUAA